GAGAGAGAGAGAGAGAGGCAGUAGUACUAAACUAGAAGAUAGGGAGAGGGAGAGGGCAUUAGUUUUGUGGGAUUGGUGGUUUAUUUUUUUUACUGAGUCCAUUGUAUAGCUAUUGACUAGACCCUUAAUCCAUAAUUAAGGGUAUAAUUAAUUUUUGGUCAUAUCUUGAAUAAUCUUUAAUUAAUGGGGUUUGAUUUAGUUUCUUGGAUAAGCUAAUGGCAUAAUAAGGUAAGGUUACUUUCUUGUUUUGGACAGGCCAAUGGCAC
RNAcentral lists this unclassified non-coding RNA (266 nucleotides) under Hevea brasiliensis (rubber tree). Lineage: Eukaryota; Viridiplantae; Streptophyta; Magnoliopsida; Malpighiales; Euphorbiaceae. The record is from RNAcentral.